RNAcentral lists this ribosomal RNA (360 nucleotides) under uncultured Paracoccaceae bacterium. RNAcentral's name for it is "bacterial SSU rRNA". It matches the Rfam family "Bacterial small subunit ribosomal RNA", at positions 999 to 1382 of the family's 1533-position model. Lineage: Bacteria; Pseudomonadati; Pseudomonadota; Alphaproteobacteria; Rhodobacterales; Paracoccaceae. The record is from RNAcentral.
UUUAGAGAUAGAGGGUGCUCGAAAGAGAGCCGUAACACAGGUGCUGCAUGGCUGUCGUCAGCUCGUGUCGUGAGAUGUUGGGUUAAGUCCCGCAACGAGCGCAACCCUUGUCAUUAGUUGCUACAUUCAGUUGGGCACUCUAAUGAGACUGCCGGUGACAAGCCGGAGGAAGGUGGGGAUGACGUCAAGUCCUCAUGGCCCUUACGGGUUGGGCUACACACGUGCUACAAUGGCAGUGACAAUGGGUUAAUCCCCAAAAGCUGUCUCAGUUCGGAUUGGGGUCUGCAACUCGACCCCAUGAAGUCGGAAUCGCUAGUAAUCGCGUAACAGCAUGACGCGGUGAAUACGUUCCCGGGCCUU